GCAUCUAUAGCUCAAUUGGAUAGAGUAUCUGGCUUCGAACCAGGUGGUUAGGGGUUCGAUCCCUCUUAGGUGCG
RNAcentral lists this transfer RNA (74 nucleotides) under Oedogonium sp. 33_chl. RNAcentral describes it as "tRNA-Arg". It matches the Rfam family "tRNA". Rfam says of the family: Transfer RNA (tRNA) molecules are approximately 80 nucleotides in length. Lineage: Eukaryota; Viridiplantae; Chlorophyta; Chlorophyceae; Oedogoniales; Oedogoniaceae. The record is from RNAcentral.